UACGAAGGGGGCUAGCGUUGUUCGGAAUUACUGGGCGUAAAGCGCACGUAGGCGGAUCGAUCAGUCAGGGGUGAAAUCCCAGGGCUCAACCCUGGAACUGCCUUUGAUACUGCAAAUCUCGAGUCCGGAAGAGGUGAGUGGAAUUCCUAGUGUAGAGGUGAAAUUCGUAGAUAUUAGGAAGAACACCAGUGGCGAAGGCGGCUCACUGGUCCGGUACUGACGCUGAGGUGCGAAAGCGUGGGGAGCAAACAGG
This 253-nucleotide ribosomal RNA is filed under the name uncultured bacterium. RNAcentral's name for it is "partial 16S ribosomal RNA". It matches the Rfam family "Bacterial small subunit ribosomal RNA", at positions 524 to 776 of the family's 1533-position model. The record is from RNAcentral.